RNAcentral lists this ribosomal RNA (515 nucleotides) under uncultured bacterium. RNAcentral describes it as "partial 16S ribosomal RNA". It matches the Rfam family "Bacterial small subunit ribosomal RNA", at positions 28 to 523 of the family's 1533-position model. The record is from RNAcentral.
GAUGAACGCUGGCGGCGUGCCUAAUACAUGCAAGUCGAGCGAAUGGAUUAAGAGCUUGCCCUUAUGAAGUUAGCGGCGGACGGGUGAGUAACACGUGGGUAACCUGCCCAUAAGACUGGGAUAACUCCGGGAAACCGGGGCUAAUACCGGAUAACAUUUUGAACCGCAUGGUUCGAAAUUGAAAGGCGGCUUCGGCUGUCACUUAUGGAUGGACCCGCGUCGCAUUAGCUAGUUGGUGAGGUAACGGCUCACCAAGGCAACGAUGCGUAGCCGACCUGAGAGGGUGAUCGGCCACGCUGGGACUGAGACACGGCCCAGACUCCUACGGGAGGCAGCAGUAGGGAAUCUUCCGCAAUGGACGAAAGUCUGACGGAGCAACGCCGCGUGAGUGAGGAAGGCUUUCGGGUCGUAAAACUCUGUUGUUAGGGAAGAACAAGUGCUAGUUGAAUAAGCUGGCACCUUGACGGUACCUAACCAGAAAGCCACGGCUAACUACGUGCCAGCAGCCGCAGUAA